AUUGAACGCUGGCGGCAGGCCUAACACAUGCAAGUCGAACGAGUGGCGGACGGGUGAGUAAUGUCUGGGAAACUGCCUGAUGGAGGGGGAUAACUACUGGAAACGGUAGCUAAUACCGCAUACCAUCAGAUGUACCCAGAUGGGAUUAGCUAGUUGGUGGGGUAACGGCUCACCAAGGCGACGAUCCCUAGCUGGUCUGAGAGGAUGAACAGCCACAAUGGAACUGAGACACGGUCCAUACCCCUACGGUAGGCAGCAGUGGGGAAUAUUGCACAAUGGGCGAAAGCCUGAUGCAGCCAUGCCGCGUGUAUGAAGAAGGCCUUCGGGUUGUAAAGUACUUUCAGCGGGGAGGCGUUACCGAAAGAAGAAGCACCGGCUAACUCCGUGCCAGCAGCCGCGGUAAUAC
RNAcentral lists this ribosomal RNA (406 nucleotides) under uncultured bacterium. RNAcentral's name for it is "partial 16S ribosomal RNA". It matches the Rfam family "Bacterial small subunit ribosomal RNA", at positions 30 to 526 of the family's 1533-position model. The record is from RNAcentral.